This 302-nucleotide long non-coding RNA is filed under the name Mytilus galloprovincialis (Mediterranean mussel). Lineage: Eukaryota; Metazoa; Mollusca; Bivalvia; Mytilida; Mytilidae. The record is from RNAcentral.
GUGUAAUUUUGUUCAUAGAUAAUGACUAUAAUAAUGAUAACAAAAAUAAUAGAUGAGUGUAAGAAAAUAUAUGGAUGAUUUUUCAAUCAAUGAAUAUUUCAUUCAAUAUUUAAGACAACAGGGGCGAAUUUAAGCGGGGCGCGGUGGGUCUACGCCCCCCUUUAAUUUGCAAAACGUGGGUUGUCUUCUAUUUAUUUGAGUAUAAGAAGAGACCAUUCCAUCUUUUUUAACAUUCAAAGUCUAUAAAAUAGUCAGCUUAACAGAAUCAACGUGGUUACUAAUCAACUGACCUACGAUUUAUU